This 660-nucleotide unclassified non-coding RNA is filed under the name Tenuivirus oryzaclavatae. Lineage: Riboviria; Orthornavirae; Negarnaviricota; Bunyaviricetes; Hareavirales; Phenuiviridae. The record is from RNAcentral.
UCUAUUGCAAAUCACAUUUUCCACCCACGAGAGCUUGCAUUCUAGACGUGGAGCCAGUUUGGGUUGACCUUCUUGUACGAGAAUACAAGUAUAUUAUAGUCCAAACAAUAUACAUGAUGUUUGUUCACUUAAGCUUGACAGUUUGUAAAUAAUAGUGUGUGAUUGAGCGUGUGUGUAUAUAUGUAUUAAUAUAUGACUGUACACAGGUGUGCAGAUGUAAACACUUGAAAUGAAUAAAUAAAUAAAUAUAUACCUAUCAAAUCAUAUACAUGCUUGUGAGUCUUGGCUCCUCUAUAUACACACAUAAAAACAUGAGAGUGUCAUACAAGACCCAUUGCAAAAAUACUAAUAACUUUGCUUUUACAAUGUCAAAACUAAAAACUGAAAUACCAAAAACAUGAGAAAAUAGAAAAUCAAAAACAAUGAAUGGUGCUGAGCACCACAUCCGGAUGUGGUGCGUAGCACCAUUUUCAUAACAUUAGUCUCUAACCUACUUGUGGCAAAAACACCCAUAUGCAUGAAGUGCUUAGCACUCUUUUAUGGAUUGACCACUAUGAUUACGUGAAUGCAUAGCAUUCUCUUGAAAAAAAGCAGAGCAGAACAGACUACAUCAAGUGCGUAGCACUAGAUGUUAGCAUACUCUGGAACUGGUCAUCUCAC